CGCUGGCGGCGUGCUAACACAUGCAAGUCGAACGGAGAAUUUCGAAGAGCUUGCUCUAAGAAAUUUUAGUGGCGGACGGGUGAGUAACGCGUGGGUAACCUACCCAUAAACUCGGGACAACCCUUGGAAACGAGGGCUAAUACCGAAUAAUCUUAGAAUGCGGCAUCGCAGUUUAAGGAAAGGUGGCCUCUGUAUAUGCUACCGAUUAUGGAUGGACCCGCGUCUGAUUAGCUAGUUGGUGGGGUAAAGGCCUACCAAGGCGACGAUCAGUAGCCGGCCUGAGAGGGUGAACGGCCACACUGGGACUGAGACACGGCCCAGACUCCUACGGGAGGCAGCAGUGGGGAAUCUUCCGCAAUGGACGAAAGUCUGACGGAGCAACGCCGCGUGUAUGAUGAAGGUCUUCGGAUUGUAAAGUACUGUCUUUGGGGAAGAAUGAUGUAUUUGAAAAUAUUGAGUACAUAUGACGGUACCCAAGGAGGAAGCCCCGGCUAACUACGUGCCAGCAGCCGCGGUAAUACGUAGGGGGCAAGCGUUGUACGGAAUUAUUGGGCGUAAAGGGCGCGUAGGCGGAUAGUUAAG
Molecule: ribosomal RNA, 582 nt
Filed under: uncultured bacterium
Lineage: Bacteria
Description: bacterial SSU rRNA
Rfam family: Bacterial small subunit ribosomal RNA
Source: RNAcentral